GACGAACGCUGGCGGCGUGCUUAACACAUGCAAGUCGAACGGAAAGGCCCUGCUUUUGUGGGGUGCUCGAGUGGCGAACGGGUGAGUAACACGUGAGUAACCUGCCCUUGACUUUGGGAUAACUUCAGGAAACUGGGGCUAAUACCGGAUAGGAGCUCCUGCUGCAUGGUGGGGGUUGGAAAGUUUCGGCGGUUGGGGAUGGACUCGCGGCUUAUCAGCUUGUUGGUGGGGUAGUGGCUUACCAAGGCUUUGACGGGUAGCCGGCCUGAGAGGGUGACCGGCCACAUUGGGACUGAGAUACGGCCCAGACUCCUACGGGAGGCAGCAGUGGGGAAUAUUGCACAAUGGGCGGAAGCCUGAUGCAGCAACGCCGCGUGCGGGAUGACGGCCUUCGGGUUGUAAACCGCUUUCGCCUGUGACGAAGCGUGAGUGACGGUAAUGGGUAAAGAAGCACCGGCUAACUACGUGCCAGCAGCCGCGGUGAUACGUAGGGUGCGAGCGUUGUCCGGAUUUAUUGGGCGUAAAGGGCUCGUAGGUGGUUGAUCGCGUCGGAAGUGUAAUCUUGGGGCUUAACCCUGAGCGUGCUUUCGAUACGGGUUGACUUGAGGAAGGUAGGGGAGAAUGGAAUUCCUGGUGGAGCGGUGGAAUGCGCAGAUAUCAGGAGGAACACCAGUGGCGAAGGCGGUUCUCUGGGCCUUUCCUGACGCUGAGGAGCGAAAGCGUGGGGAGCGAACGGGCUUAGAUACCCUGGUAGUCCACGCUGUAAACGGUGGGUACUAGGUGUGGGGUCCAUUCCACGGGUUCCGUGCCGUAGCUAACGCUUUAAGUACCCCGCCUGGGGAGUACGGCCGCAAGGCUAAAACUCAAGGGAAUUGACGGGGCCCCGCACAAGCGGCGGAGCAUGCGGAUUAAUUCGAUGCAACGCGUAGAACCUUACCUGGGUUUGACAUGGAUCGGGAGCGCUCAGAGAUGGGUGUGCCUCUUUUGGGGUCGGUUCACAGGUGGUGCAUGGCUGUCGUCAGCUCGUGUCGUGAGAUGUUGGGUUAAGUCCCGCAACGAGCGCAACCCUUGUUCACUGUUGCCAGCACGUUAUGGUGGGGACUCAGUGGAGACCGCCGGGGUCAACUCGGAGGAAGGUGGGGAUGACGUCAAGUCAUCAUGCCCCUUAUGUCCAGGGCUUCACGCAUGCUACAAUGGCUGGUACAGAGAGUGGCGAGCCUGUGAGGGUGAGCGAAUCUCGGAAAGCCGGUCUCAGUUCGGAUUGGGGUCUGCAACUCGACCUCAUGAAGUCGGAGUCGCUAGUAAUCGCAGAUCAGCAACGCUGCGGGUGAAUCCUUUCCCGGGGCU
Molecule: ribosomal RNA, 1347 nt
Filed under: uncultured bacterium
Lineage: Bacteria
Description: bacterial SSU rRNA
Rfam family: Bacterial small subunit ribosomal RNA
Source: RNAcentral